This 253-nucleotide ribosomal RNA is filed under the name uncultured bacterium. RNAcentral's name for it is "partial 16S ribosomal RNA". It matches the Rfam family "Bacterial small subunit ribosomal RNA", at positions 524 to 776 of the family's 1533-position model. The record is from RNAcentral.
GACGAAGCGUGCGAACGUUGUUCGGAAUCACUGGGCUUAAAGGGCGCGUAGGUGGUUUGCCAAGUCGGGGUUGAAAUCUUUCGGCUUAACCGGAAAAGUGGCUUCGAUACUGGCAAGCUGGAGGGAGGUAGGGGCGGAUGGAACUUCCGGUGGAGCGGUGAAAUGUGUUGAUAUCGGAAGGAACGCCGGUGGCGAAAGCGAUCCGCUGGACCUCUUCUGACACUGAGGCGCGAAAGCCAGGGGAGCAAACGGG